UCCACCUUCUCCCGUCCCUUGCUCCACACUGAUUCUGAACUUCCUUCUCCCGUCCCUUGGUCCACACCGAAACUUCACUGUUUCUUCCUUUAAUUCCUUCAUUUCUUUUUCAUCACCAAAGCACUCUUUAUUAUUCUCUUAUAUUUUUCUUUAGCUUUUUUUAAGAUCCAUCUGAUUUCAAUGGCAGCUCUUGCACCUACCCCUCUUUCGAAACACCCUUAUCAAGUUCACCGAAGGUCUUUGAUUCCAGGGUCCAAAGUGGGGAGAUUCAACCGACCCAAUUCAGAUUUCGGGCUUAUUUCAGGCUGGGCAUGUUUGCUGGGAUGACAAUGAUGUAAUAAAUGGAAAACCAACUGGAGCGGUUAGAGUAUCUAUUGGCUACAUGUCAACUUAUGAAGAUGCUAAGGCAGUCUUUAUCUACCUUUUGAGCUCUGCCCUUUAUUUCUAUUCUAGAAAAAUGUAUGAUAUUUUUUUUAUUUUAUUGUAUACAUGCAUCAGCUGUUACAUGAAAUGGAACAUAGAAGCUUCCAACAUAAAGGAUACUAAUCUAUUAGAACUUCUGUGGGACUGUUGAUUUCCAUCGAUAAUAACAUGUUGGGAUAUAUUUGGUGAAUGUUUCUCUCAUUCUUUCUGUUUGAUGGUAUUUACUGACCGAUGGUUUUUCCUCCAUACAGAAACUUAUUGAUUUUAUGAGAAGUUCCUUUGUAUCCAUACCAAGUGAGUUCGAGAAAGGGAACCUGCUCAGAUUAAAGUCAAUUCCAUACCAAAACUGAAGGUUGUUCAGGGUUUUGGUUCAUUUUUAUUGCCAAUAAAAUGAAAACAAUUUGUUAGAUUUGCAAGUUCUCCUUUUCCCAAUUGGCAAAUUAUUUCCACUGUAAAAUAACGCUAUUAUACCUAU
Molecule: long non-coding RNA, 898 nt
Organism: Hibiscus syriacus
Lineage: Eukaryota; Viridiplantae; Streptophyta; Magnoliopsida; Malvales; Malvaceae
Exons: 3
Source: RefSeq, a predicted model, not a curated record